This 256-nucleotide ribosomal RNA is filed under the name uncultured bacterium. RNAcentral's name for it is "partial 16S ribosomal RNA". It matches the Rfam family "Bacterial small subunit ribosomal RNA", at positions 524 to 776 of the family's 1533-position model. The record is from RNAcentral.
UACGUAGGGUGCGAGCGUUGUCCGGAAUUAUUGGGCGUAAAGAGCUCGUAGGUGGUUUUGUCGCGUUGUCCGUGAAAAACUCACAACUCAAUUGUGGGCGUGCGGGCGAUACGGGCGGACUGGAGUACUGCAGGGGGAGACUGGAAUUCCUGGUGUAGCGGUGAAAUGCGCAGAUAUCAGGAGGAACACCGGUGGCGAAGGCGGGUCUCUGGGCCGAUACUGACGCUGAGGAGCGAAAGCGUGGGGAGCGAACAGG